ACCUAGCCGCGAUGGAAGGGAAAAUCCUUUUUUUCUUUCAGAGAAAUCCUCUUUUUAUGUAGGCUCUUCGAUAAAGAAAAAAAGAUUGGAAUGAACAGCGCGCGUAAUA
RNAcentral lists this small RNA (109 nucleotides) under Halpernia humi. RNAcentral's name for it is "Chryseobacterium humi Flavo-1 RNA". It matches the Rfam family "Flavo-1 RNA". Lineage: Bacteria; Pseudomonadati; Bacteroidota; Flavobacteriia; Flavobacteriales; Weeksellaceae. The record is from RNAcentral.